AUAACUCGAGCACAACGCAUAAAAUUUGAGCAAUGAAAAGAUGGCCAGAACGAGGACAGAGAGCUCAGAACUGUUCACAAAAUAACAAAGGAGGUGCCAGGAGAGAGGCGAAUCCUCUCAGGUGAGACGAGCCACAAAUGAUUCUGUUAACCGUGAAUGUCAAUGUCAACCUCCCGAAAGGAAAAGAAACCACUCGGACUCCAUCUCCUUCUGGAGAAAUCCCAGAAAAAUUCUACAUCUCAAGGGCUGCUUCCCGAAAAAUCUCCUCAGACCUGAUCUCCUUCCAGAAACUUCCUCAGCAGCUCAACAGCUAAAUUCUGAAUAUGGAAUUUAUCACAAACAAAUCACAGAGGAAAAAAAGCUGAGACUGCACGGCCUCAGGCCGAAACGAGUGUAUAAAAUUCGGCAUUUCAAUAAAAACUUUGGAAACUUGAGGGAAUCGAGGUUUGGAGACUGAGGCAGAGACCGGGUCAGGAUUCACCCAGCGCCGAUCCCGGGCUCGGCGUUGCCUUUAAUUGUAGCUGUCCCCAAAUUUAUUUUCGCAGGUUUAGCAAUAAAAAUUGUUAUUCAUGAAAUUGGAUUGAUUUAUUUAUAGCGCAGGGAAGGAAAAAAGGAAAAGCGGAACCAAUCCCCGCCGCACUGCGCAUACGCAGCUCCGGCUACCGUACAUGGCAGCCACGCGCAUGCGCAGUUACGCGCUCCGUACGGCAGCAUGGCGGCCCGCACAGGCGCGGCGCCUUUUGCCGUACAACAUGGUCGUCCUGCGCAUGCGCAGUUCUAUUCGCCGUACAUCAUGGCGGCCCUCACAUACGAAGUUUUAAUUGCCGUACAUCAUGGCGGCCAUGCGCAUGCGCAGUUCCCGCCAACCGCUGCGCUCCCUCUGCUCCGUGCAUGCGUAUUGUUCCGUGACGUCAUCACGCAGCGCCCCGCGCGUGCGCAGUGCCGGGCCAGGCCUGAGGAGGCGGCGAAGCCCCGGGACGGGCCCGGGACCAGCGGGGAAAACGGGAAAAAAACGGGAAAAAAGCGGGGAAAAAAGCGGGAAAAACGGGAUAAUCGGGAUAAUCUGAAUAAUCGGGAUAAUCGGGAUCAGCACAGCGCACUCCCCACCGCAGUUAUGGUGUUUUACUUCACCUCCAACGCCGCUCCCGCUGCCUACACCAUCUACAUGGGCAAGGACAAGUACGAGAGUGAGUGCUGGGAAUUCCGGGAAUUUUGGGAAUUCUGGGAAUUUCGGGGGCCGGGAAUUCCAGGAUUUCCUUGGGAAUAUCCCACAUUUUCCUCCCCACCCCCCCUUGCCGCGGUUUUUUGGGAUUCCUUUGGAUGUUCCUGGGUUUGGGGGAGGGAAAAAUUCCCUUUUCCUGGGCAGAAUUCCCAGAUUUCCGGCCCCUUUGGGGAAUUUUGGGAAUCUUUUCCGGCUCUUUCCAGAGCGGGAUUGGAUCCGGCUGGGAAUUCCGGGAUUUGGGAUUUGGGAAUUCCCAGGAUUUGGGAUUUGGGUGGGAAUUCCCGGGAUUUGGGGUUGGGGUGGGAAUUUGGGGCAGGAAUUCCUGGGAUUUGGGGUUGGGAAUUCCGGGAUUUAGAGCUGGAAUUCCAGGGAUUUGGGGACGGGAGGUGGGAAUUGGGAUGGGAAUUCUGGGAUUUGGGGUUGGGUUGGAAAUCCUGGGAUUUGGGGCAGGAAUUCCCAGGAUUUGGGGAUGGAAAUCCCGGGAUUUGGGGCUGGGAAAGCCGGGAUUGGGGAUUUGGGAAUUCUGGGAUUGGGAAAUGCUGGGAGUGGGGAUUUUGGGCUUUGGGAAUUUGGGGAAUUUGGGGCUUUGGGAAUUCUGGGAUUUGGGAAUUUUGGGAAUUUGGGGCUUUGGGAAUUCUGGGCUUUGGGAAUUUUGGGAAUUUGGGGCGUUGCCGACGGCGCUGCCGUUCCGCAGACGAGGACCUGAUCAAGUACGGCUGGCCCGAGGACGUCUGGUGCGUGCUGAGAUCCCGAGAUUCCCGGGAAAAGCAGGAAUUUGGGAAUGUGGGAUCCUCCCCCUCCCACCCCCUCCCCCCUCGGGCCCUUCCCUCCCCGGAGGAUUCCGGAAUUUGGGAGCAGCUUUGGGCUGGAGCUGGGAAUUCCCGAGGUCGGCUCUUCCCAAAUCCCGAAUCCCAUCCUGAAUUCCAAAUCCAAUCCCAAAUUCAGUCCCAAAUCCCAUUUCAAAUCCCAAAUCCCCAAUCCCAUCCCAAAUCCCGAAUCCAAUCCCAAAUCCCAAAUCCCAUCCUGAAUCCCAAAUCCAAUCCCAAAUUCAGUCCCAAAUCUCAUCCUUAAUCCCAAAUCCCAUUUCAAAUCCCAAAUCCCAUCCCAAAUCCCAAAUCCCAUCCCAAACCCCAAAUCCAAUCCCAAAUCCCAUCCCAAAUCCCAUUUCAAAUCCCAAAUCCCAUCCCCAAUCCCAUCCCAAAUCCCAAAUCCCAUCCUGAAUCCCAAAUCCAGUCCCAAAUCCCAAAUCCCAUCCCCGGGCCCUUCCCUUCCCCCACCUUCUUCUCAUUUUUCCCCCUUUUUUCCCCAUUUUCCCCACAUUUUUUCCAUUUUUUCCUCACUUUCCCCACUUUUCCCCACAUUUUCCCCAUUUUC
Molecule: long non-coding RNA, 2596 nt
Filed under: Parus major (Great Tit)
Lineage: Eukaryota; Metazoa; Chordata; Aves; Passeriformes; Paridae
Description: lncRNA (ENSPMJG00000005807.1)
Source: RNAcentral